Molecule: ribosomal RNA, 407 nt
Filed under: uncultured bacterium
Lineage: Bacteria
Description: partial 16S ribosomal RNA
Rfam family: Bacterial small subunit ribosomal RNA
Source: RNAcentral
AUUGAACGCUGGCGACAGGCCUAACUCAUGCAAGUAGAGCGGUGCGGCGGACGGGCGAGUAAUACCUAGGAAUCUUCCUGGUAGACGGGGAUAACGAUCGGAAACGGACGCUAAUACCGCAUACUAUCAGAUGAACCUAGGUCGGAUUAACUAGUUGGUGAGGUAAUGGCCCACCAAGGCUACGAUCCGUAACUGGUCUGAGAGGAUGAUCAGUCACACUGGAACUGAGACACGGUCCAGACUCCUACGGGAGGCAGCAGGGGGGAAUAUUGGACAAUGGGCGAAAGCCUGAUCCAGCCAUGCCGCGUGUGUGAAGAAGGUCUUCGGAUUGUAAAGCACUUUAAGUUGGGAGGCGUUACCGACAGAAUAAGCACCGGCGAACUCUGUGCCAGCAGCCGCGGUAAUAC